This 243-nucleotide ribosomal RNA is filed under the name uncultured bacterium. Its description in RNAcentral is "partial 16S ribosomal RNA". It matches the Rfam family "Bacterial small subunit ribosomal RNA", at positions 111 to 354 of the family's 1533-position model. The record is from RNAcentral.
UAACGCGUGGAUAACCUGCCUUGCACUGGGGGAUAACACUUAGAAAUAGGUGCUAAUACCGCAUAAGCGCACAGAGCCGCAUGGCUCAGUGUGAAAAACUCCGGUGGUGUAAGAUGGAUCCGCGUCUGAUUAGCUGGUUGGCGGGGUAGAAGCCCACCAAGGCGACGAUCAGUAGCCGGCCUGAGAGGGUGAACGGCCACAUUGGGACUGAGACACGGCCCAAACUCCUACGGAAGGCAGCAG